RNAcentral lists this ribosomal RNA (439 nucleotides) under uncultured bacterium. RNAcentral's name for it is "bacterial SSU rRNA". It matches the Rfam family "Bacterial small subunit ribosomal RNA", at positions 959 to 1397 of the family's 1533-position model. The record is from RNAcentral.
ACGCGUGGAACCUUACCAGGUCUUGACAUCCUCUGACACUCCUAGAGAUAGGACGUUCCCCUUCGGGGGACAGAGUGACAGGUGGUGCAUGGUUGUCGUCAGCUCGUGUCGUGAGAUGUUGGGUUAAGUCCCGCAACGAGCGCAACCCUUGAUCUUAGUUGCCAGCAUUUAGUUGGGCACUCUAAGGUGACUGCCGGUGACAAACCGGAGGAAGGUGGGGAUGACGUCAAAUCAUCAUGCCCCUUAUGACCUGGGCUACACACGUGCUACAAUGGACGGUACAAACGGUUGCCAACCCGCGAGGGGGAGCUAAUCCGAUAAAACCGUUCUCAGUUCGGAUUGUAGGCUGCAACUCGCCUACAUGAAGCCGGAAUCGCUAGUAAUCGCGGAUCAGCAUGCCGCGGUGAAUACGUUCCCGGGCCUUGCACUCACCGCCCGU